ACUGAAAACAUUUAACUUUAUAAACAUCAUCAUGCAUAUUUCAAUUUUGAAAUGUAAUUUUUUGAUUGAAGAGAAAGUUGAAGAGUUGAAGGUUCCUGGAUGACUCAGUAAACUAACAAACAUAAAUUUACUUUUAUUCUAGUCUACAAAUCUAAUAUGUCAAUAACUGCCAAUAAAAAGUGAUUUAUUUAAAAUAAUUGUUUUUUUUUUUUUUUUGCCCUUAAUGGCCAAAAGUCCAUACAAAAGAAAUAAUCCGAUGUUAUCCAAAGGACUAUUUACAAUUAUAACUUGCAGGAUAACUCUAUAAUGUUCUGCUGGAAAAUGUCUCUAGACUUAAGUGUGGUGUUAGUGUAAUGACAAGACAAUAGUAUGCAGAUAUAGCUGUAUAGUCCCUUUCCACUAAAGAAAAACACAUAACAGGAAUCUUAGUACGGCUUUAUGGUCCUUGGCUAUUGUCUCUUUUUCUUUCUCCAAUAUAUAUAUGCAAAAUGGCAAUAAAUAAAAAACGUACAGGAUUCCUGGAAUCAAAAAGAAUCCAGAAAAACUGACCUCUUCUACUUAAAUGGACACUACGGGCACACAGACUACUUCAUCUCAUUGAAGUGGUUUGGGUGCAGUGUCCUUGUUCCCUUAACCCUGCAAUAUAACAUAUUGCAGUUUUAAAGAAACUGCAAUGUUUACAUUGCAGUGUUAAGACUGCCUCUAGUAGCCAUCUACCAGACGAGGCAAUACCUGCUAUUUCAUGAAGUUUGACUAUGUUAAAAGAUACUGGAUGUUCUCACGCCUUGCAUGAGAACGUCCAGCGUCUUCUAAAUCCCCAUAGAAAGUCACUGUAGCAAUGCUUUCCUAUGGGGAUGGCCUAACGCGUGUGCGUCAUGCGCAUUAGGUUCUCCCCAUUGGCUGACGUUGGUGGAGGAUGAGCUUGACCCAUAGCCAAUGGACUUCGGAGCUGUAAUCAGGUAAGUUAAAUUGUUUUCUUUAACCCUUUACAUGGCAGGGGGAAUGCAAGUGAGGGUCUGAUAGUGUUAAGAAUAAAGCUUUGUUUCUUAACACCGUAGUUUUCCUUUAGUGUGCAGUGAUUGGGAUGACCAAAAACAGUUGACAAAAUUAAAUGUCACCACAUAGUAAUUAGAUGAUGUUCUGUGAUUAUCCCCUCUUUUUACUGUGUGAGGUUUAAGGUAAUAAGAUUAUGUAAAGGUUCAGCAAAUAACCCCUAUGCUUUGACUCACUCCCUGUCCUUUUCGAUGAAAGGUAAUGUAUGUAAAAUGGGCUUGGGGGGUGGUCCCCAAAGUCUACUGGUUACAUAUUUAAGGACCAUGUAUUAUACCGUAUAAGGUGGUACCUUAGUCCCAUGGCCCAAUUAUUGUGCUCAUUACAUGGUAGAUGAUUGGGGAUGCACAUUCCUUUUUCCUAAGUGCCUCCUAUUAUAAUCACUUUUGCCAAAAGUCCCUGGGCCAUCUUUACUAUAUCCCUACUUACCAGAGGAGGUCAGCAUGAUGACCAAUUCUUUAUAAAUAAUAAGUCAGGGGAUCCCAAAGCCCACAUUUAAGUGCCAAACUCCCCUUAAGUAUUAUUAUGCCAAGGAGGAUUUUAGGCCUCCUUGCAUAAAAGGGCUCCACUAGUACAGAAACUGAAUGUCCCUAUAUACGUGUUAGUAUAACGGAGGGUGUUUUAAAUAAAGUUGUCUUAUAGAAAAAAAACAUUUUUCACUUGUCAUUUUUGUUGUAGUCAAACAAUGCCUAUGUAAUUGUCAUCUUAUGUCCAUGUAAAAAACCCCUUAGUGCAAAGUAAAAAAAUAAACAACCAUAUAAAAAACACCAUCUUUAUCAUUCAAUGACUGUAUCAAUAAGGACACCUUUGUUUUAACAUUCAAUCCCAACUCCCUGAAAAAUAUUUUACCUGUUUUCCUUAAACACCACUUGAGACUGAUUGACAGCUUCUUGACAGUAGGUAUUAAGGAGCAAUAAGUGACAGCAAAAUGGAAUCAAGAUAGACAGUUUAAGCCAAUAUAUUUUCAGUUGGAUUGCCAACCCCCAUGCUAUGCUAUUUAUGGACAAACUAAUAUGGACCUAUUCAAGCAGCAGCCUUGAAGUGAUCUCAUCUAUCUUUUUCGGCAAACUUGCUGUUAAAAUUCACAAGACUAGACUGCAUAGAACCUACAUUCAAAAAUAUAUGCAUAGGACACAUAUACAUUUGCUGCAGUUUUUAAUCCAAGUACUAUUGCCAUAAUAUUGAUAACAGUAUUGACCACAGUUUUGUUUUUUUAACAAGAAAAAAAGUUUUGUUUUUUUUCCAAUACACUCUUGGUCAAACAUUUGCCAGAUACAACAUACAGAAUGUAAGUAAUCUGUAACAGGACCGAUCCGAACUUGCACUAAGUCAGAACAAUCAUGCUUCUUUUUUAAAGAGGCAUUCUAGCACCAUAACCACUAAUGUGUGCUAUAGUUGUUAUGGUUUCCCUGACACCACGUCACACUAAGGAGUACACAAGAGUUAACAAUUAUAUAAUACAAAAAAUUGCAGGGUAGCUGUGACAUAGUUACAUAGUUACACAGGCUGAAAAGAGACACGUGUCUAUCAAGUUCAACCCUUCUCACAUCUGUUUUUGCUGUUGAUCCAAAAGAAGGCAAAAAUCCAGUUUUAAGCACGUCCAUCUUUGCAACAAACUGGGAAAAAAAAACCUUCCUGACCCCAGAAUGGCAGUCAGAUCUAUCCUUUGAUCAAGAAGCUAUUAACCCACAAAUUAAAAAUUAUAUCCCUAUGGCAGAAUUUAAUAUUUUCUAUAUUCUUAUAUUUUACUUUUAAAGUUUUAUUCCAUAUUCAAUAUUUUGUUUUUAUGUUAAUCUGGUUAACCUACCUUACUACCACCAAUAUUGUUUUCUAUUGCAUUGCAAUAUGUUUAAUACAUCCUGCUGAUAAUCAACUCUUAAUUCUUCAACCUCACUUCUGGUCCUAACCUGACUGACUAAUUCAUUUCUCAGAUGCAUCUCAAUUGAGUUCCUUUGCCUACUGUAGGGGGACUCUCAGUUGGAUUGCUAAAGAGUUGAAGUUCUGGAUUUGGCCCAGGAAAACCCCAGGUCACUUCAAGUAAAUGCUGUUUUUUUUUUGUGUGUGGACGGGCAUGGCUUUAGUUUUACUGGGCAGUGACACAAUAGAAUUACCCCCAAUUUCAUGAAUCUGCCCUGAUUAACAGUCAGUCACACAACGGGCAGCUUCACAUUCUUGCCUAGUCCUCCAUAAUGACUGACAGGAAAGAGGUGCUUUAUGAGAUGUGCUGAAGGGCAGAUAAAGAGAUGAUGGAGGUUAGCUAAAGUAUGGACUAUAUCCAGGCUACUAUCUCUCUCAUUGCAUCCUCAUCCACAACUUCAUAGCAUUGCACAGAUCACUGUAUUUGCAUGCAAAAGUCUAGAUGUCAUCAUGUCGUAUUGUUCUGUGGUUGAAUAACUGCACAAUGUACCAAUGAGUUGUGUUCAAGGCUGCCAUGUAUGGUACAGCUACUUGUGACUACAUCCAGAAUUGGACCGUGGGGACUGGGCACACCAGUGGGGAAAUUAGAUAGCUGAAUGGAAGCCAGUAGUAGGGAGAAUCUAUCAUCAUAUGUUGGCCUUAACAUUGUACACAUAGAGCUACUGCAGACUCACACUGACAGUGCACACACAGAAACAACACACUCACAAAAACACUUACAUGUCCUCACACUGACAAUUUGCACACAAAAAGAGACACAUAGGUACCAAUGGUGUACACCAAAACAAAUUAUGUGCAUUCACAAUGACAAGGGAUGAAGAAAAACUGAAUGGAUCAACUUGUGUGUACUCAUGAACAGGUCCCAGAAGGGGAGAGGAAGUAGGAAAGCUUUUGGGCAAAUUUAAAGUAUAGCUUUAGCUCAAAUAUCUGCUCCAUUAUGUGUGAGUAUAUAUGGUUGGUGGUCACUCACUAACAUGACACCAUUUAAAAGAUAUAUAUACUCAACCAGAAUUCACUCGAUUACACAUACUUUUUUUAAUCUUUUUGAAUUACCUUAAAGGGACACUCCAGGCACCCAGACCACUCCAAUGGGCAGAUGUGGUCUGGGUGCCUGGAGUGUCCCUUUAAGGUAAUUCAAAAAGAUUAAAAAAAGUAUGUGUAAUCGAGUGAAUUCUGGUUGAGUAUAUAUAUCUUUUAAAUGGUGUCAUGUUAGUGAGUGACCACCAACCAUAUAUACUCACACAUAAUGGAGCAGAUAUUUGAGCUAAAGCUAUACUUUAAAUUUGCCCAAAAGCUUUCCUACUUCCUCUCCCCUUCUGGGACCUGUUCAUGAGUACACACAAGUUGAUCCAUUCAGUUUUUCUUCAUCCCUUGUCAACUCCCAUCACCCUUAAUCCUGCAAGUGUAAUUAUUGCAGUUUUUAUAUACUGCAAUAAUUACCUUGCAGGGUUAAGUCCUCCUCUAGUGGCUGUCUAUCAGACAGCCACUAGAGGGACUCUAGUGUUCUUAAAACACAAAAAGUGUUUUAAACUACGCUGGACGUCCUCACACUAUGCAUGAGGAUCGCCAGUGUUGCCGAAAUUCCCACAGGAAAGCAUUGAAUAAUGCUUUACUAUGGGGGGGGGUCUAAUGCGUGCGUGUGGCCUUUGCCGCACGCUUGGCCAUUGACGCGCAUGCGCAUUAGGUCUUCCGAGCUAACUGACGUUGGCGGGGGAAGAGCAUGGGUGGGGCCUGACCCAGCGCCGAGGGACCACGGCACUGGAUUAAGGUAAGUCACUGAAGGGGUUUUAACCCCUUCAGCAACAUGCUGUGGGGUGUGAAAGGGAGGGAGGGACCACAAAACAGAUUUGUUUUCCUGACACUGGAGAGUCCCUUUAAAGUAACAAGCACCUGAGUUCACUUUAAAUUCUCAAAAAAAUACACCUCUCACAAACCCUAAAAUCGUCUGAACCAAUUUAAAAUGUAUUAACACUGUAUAAGGACAGCUUUACAUGUACUUUAUGAUAAUACAAAUAAUUAAUAUGUUUAUAUUACUGUUUUGUGUACUUACUGUUUCUUGCUUGGCAACAUUAUGUACAUAUGCAAUAGAGACAAUAUAAUUUUAUCAAUAAAUUAUCAGCUUAUCAAAAACUCAAUUACUUGUCAAGUUAACCUAUCUGAUAAUAAAAAUUGAAAAUACUAUUUAAAACUAUACUAAAACACGAGUAUGAUUUAUGAGGGUUGAUUAAUGUCCCAUAGUUUUAACCUAAAAUAUCUACAUUGUAUUGAUGGAAUUUGUGAUUGCACAGUCUAAAUUAUAAACAAAAAAUGCACAUACGGUAUAAUACUUAUAUUUUUAUGAGUUAGAAUUUUCAACUUGUAGAUCAUUGUCAUGGAUUGGAUUUUUAUGUUUCCCAAUUUCUCUAUGGUAUGCUGCUUUCUUAUGCGUGUUUAAAUUCAUUAUUUUCACACCAAUUCUCUGUAAACAUGAACAUAUUCUAUGUGAAAAUAUUUUAGCAAAAAUUAUGUUUUAUAAGUAGAC
This is a non-coding RNA of Pelobates cultripes (western spadefoot toad), 5488 nucleotides long. Lineage: Eukaryota; Metazoa; Chordata; Amphibia; Anura; Pelobatidae. The record is from the annotation of a GenBank genome assembly.